This 22-nucleotide non-coding RNA is filed under the name Arabidopsis thaliana (thale cress). The record is from RNAcentral. Lineage: Eukaryota; Viridiplantae; Streptophyta; Magnoliopsida; Brassicales; Brassicaceae.
UACAAUGGUUCGGAUGGUUAGA